Molecule: long non-coding RNA, 1524 nt
Organism: Corythoichthys intestinalis (scribbled pipefish)
Lineage: Eukaryota; Metazoa; Chordata; Actinopteri; Syngnathiformes; Syngnathidae
Exons: 3
Source: RefSeq, a predicted model, not a curated record
UGAACGAACCGGAAUGGAUUCGUUUACUCAAGUGAACGACAAAUCUCGUCACUAGUGGUUGCAUCAGCGCUCGGUAGAAUGUAAACACAGAGCGCGAUCACGUGACUGAAUUCCCUCGGCAGAUAGUACGGCCAGAGACUAACAGCAAGCAGUUCCAAGUCCCGACAACAUAUGACUUUUUUGACAGUGACGUGACCUGUGUUACACCAGCCGUUGGUAAUGUACAUGAUGAGAGCCCCACCUUUGCUUUUUCCGCAAGCUUUCGCAUCUCUGUCGGCUCUCACCACAGUAAACCCAGAAAUGUCAACGUUAGCGUCCGGUAUCAGUUCAACCUUGGCAGACCUGGGAGCGCACCUGCAGCUCAUCACAAUCAACACUGCUUUUAAGGAGCGGCAUGGGCAGCAAGCAGGUGCCAGAUGAAUUUGCCAGUCCCCAUUGGACACCCACCCUCCAAGCCCUCACAGCCACAGCCUGAACCUCAGCCUGAACCUCAGUCACAGCCUCAGCCACAGCCAUUUACCAUUCAACCCACCAGCCGCUCAGCACCUUGCCCUUGUGUAAUAAAUAUCACUUCACACUUCAUGUGUUUCCGGCUCGCAUUUUGGUCCACAUCAACUUUGCCUACCUUGCUGUAACACAUAUUUCUUCCAUUUAUCCUCCCGUGUAGUGAUGAUGGCAGAUGGAUGUGGUAUUUCCAAAUUGUCUUUUUUGAGGGAUUUUGAUGGAUGAUGCCACUCCACUUACUGUUAGGUUUCUGAGUGAGCGGGGGACCCAAGCGCAGAGAAGCAAGGCAAGGUGGCAGUGGUGACAAUUGUUUAUUGCUUUAUGUGAAGGCAGUCCUUGUCCAGAUAGUCAGGCGGGCGAUUAGUAGUGAUGUUAUGCUCGAAGCAGACGCUCGAGACAAGUGUCGAGCGCUCGCGGCAACACGUAUCCCGAUACGUUGUACUGAUGUCUCGCUUCGUUCAGUGGAAAAACACCUGGCCGCGGAAGCGAAGCGUUGUGAUGUCACACGCGUGUCGGCCGUGACCGUGGACGUGUCACUCAGGUAGCGAGGGGUCGAGUCAGUCAAUUUGGUUCAAACUCACAAUGCUUAUGAAAAGGGGAAAUAUCGCUCAAAAUGUUGUGGGUUGUGAGGAGAGCUUUUGUGCGCAUUACGUCAUAUUGAGAACGAGGGAGAGAAAAGUGAAAUUAGAUCAGAUUACACAUUAGAUUAAUUUGCAAAUGCACAUAGUAUAGGCAUUCAUUGACACUAUACACUGAUUUAUACAAUACGCACACACACACGCACCCCCCAAACACACACGUUAGUUUUUGUGUCUAUCAGUUUGUCAGUUUUUGUGUUUGUCUAUCUGCCAGUUUGUAAAUUUCUUCGUGCCAUGUGAGAGAAUAUUCUCAAAAGCUGGAGAGGUCAUUAGCAAAAAGAGGAACCAGCUGAAACCAAAUGCUGCUGAGAUGAUUUUGUUUUUAAAUAAAAAUUUGUGAAACACCCAAAUCCCCAUCCCAGUGUCACUAGCAUUCUAUACA